GCCAGCAGCCAUAUCACCCUGCAGCACUUAAUUAGAAACGCACUGAAGCUAAGCAGGUGUGAGCCUAAUAAGUACCUGGAUGGAGACCUCCUGGAAAAAACUAAAGUUGCUGCUGGAA
Molecule: ribosomal RNA, 118 nt
Filed under: Lepisosteus oculatus (spotted gar)
Lineage: Eukaryota; Metazoa; Chordata; Actinopteri; Semionotiformes; Lepisosteidae
Source: RNAcentral